UGCCUGGUGGUGUAACGGUAGCACGCCUGACUCUGGAUCAGGUAGUCGGGGUUCAAAUCCCUGCCGGGCAA
This 71-nucleotide transfer RNA is filed under the name bacterium. Its description in RNAcentral is "tRNA-Gln". It matches the Rfam family "tRNA". From Rfam's summary of the family: Transfer RNA (tRNA) molecules are approximately 80 nucleotides in length. Their secondary structure includes four short double-helical elements and three loops (D, anti-codon, and T loops). The record is from RNAcentral. RNAcentral also lists the same sequence under 1 other name.